UGUGUAGGCGGUGCUCUAAGUUCGGUGUGAAAUCUCCCGGCUUAACUGGGAGGGUGCGCCGGAAACUGGAGUGCUUGAGCGCGGGAGAGGAAAGCGGAAUUCCUGGUGUAGCGGUGAAAUGCGUAGAUAUCAGGAGGAACACCUGUGGUGUAGACGGCUUUCUGGACCGUAGCUGACGCUGAGACACGAAAGCGUGGGUAGCAAACAGGAUUAGAUACCCUGGUAGUCCACGCCCUAAACGAUGCAUACUUGGUGUGAGCCAUUCAGUUGGUUCGUGCCGGAGCUAACGCGUUAAGUAUGCCGCCUGGGGAGUACGGUCGCAAGGCUGAA
Molecule: ribosomal RNA, 330 nt
Filed under: uncultured Acidobacteriota bacterium
Lineage: Bacteria; Pseudomonadati; Acidobacteriota
Description: bacterial SSU rRNA
Rfam family: Bacterial small subunit ribosomal RNA
Source: RNAcentral